Tyto alba (common barn owl) is the source of this 73-nucleotide transfer RNA. It matches the Rfam family "tRNA". From Rfam's summary of the family: Transfer RNA (tRNA) molecules are approximately 80 nucleotides in length. Their secondary structure includes four short double-helical elements and three loops (D, anti-codon, and T loops). Lineage: Eukaryota; Metazoa; Chordata; Aves; Strigiformes; Tytonidae. The record is from Rfam.
UCGUGGCUAGCUCACUCGGUAGAGCAUGAGACUCUUAAUCUCAGGGUCGUGGGUUUGACCCCCAUGUUGGGCA